Molecule: ribosomal RNA, 495 nt
Filed under: uncultured bacterium
Lineage: Bacteria
Description: partial 16S ribosomal RNA
Rfam family: Bacterial small subunit ribosomal RNA
Source: RNAcentral
GAUGAACGCUGGCGGCGUGCCUAAUACAUGCAAGUAGAACGCUGAAGGAGGAGCUUGCUCUUCUGGAUGAGUUGCGAACGGGUGAGUAACGCGUAGGUAACCUGCCUGGUAGCGGGGGAUAACUAUUGGAAACGAUAGCUAAUACCGCAUGACAACAGCUAUUGCAUGAUAACUGUUUAAAAGGGGCAACUGCUCCACUACCAGAUGGACCUGCGUUGUAUUAGCUAGUUGGUGAGGUAACGGCUCACCAAGGCGACGAUACAUAGCCGACCUGAGAGGGGGAUCGGCCACCCUGGGACGGUGACACGGCCCAGACUCCUACGGGAGGCAGCAGGAGGGAAUCUUCGGCAAUGGACGGAAGUCUGACCGAGCAACGCCGCGUGAGCGAAGAAGGUUGUCGGAUCGUAAAGCUCUGUUGUAAGAGAAGAACGAGUGUGAGAGUGGAAAGUUCACACUGUGACGGUAUCUUACCAGAAAGGGACGGCUAACUACGUG